Long non-coding RNA from Arachis stenosperma, 174 nucleotides. RefSeq lists it as uncharacterized. NCBI's taxonomy places the organism in Eukaryota, Viridiplantae, Streptophyta, Magnoliopsida, Fabales, Fabaceae. The record is from RefSeq and is a predicted model, not a curated record. The transcript is spliced from 3 exons.
AAAUAAAAUGAGAUCCCCAAUGAUAUCCUCACCUUUCAGCUUGAGGACAGAAGAAAGGGCUGCAAGAAGAAAGAAGAAACUUGAAGAAAAGUUCAAUGCCAAUGAGGCACAAAAAGUGCAACUUCAUACAAAACUCAAGGAAAAAGCAGAGACAGAGAUCAGAAAACUUCGCCA